This 653-nucleotide long non-coding RNA is filed under the name Homo sapiens (human). RNAcentral describes it as "lncAB226.1". The record is from RNAcentral. Lineage: Eukaryota; Metazoa; Chordata; Mammalia; Primates; Hominidae.
CAAAGCUUAGCAGGAGAGGAGAGCCAGAGAAGUGACAGGGAAGCUACAGGUUACGACAGAUUUGUGAACUCAGCCAAGCACAGUGGUGGCAGGGCCUAGCUGCUACAAAGAAGACAUGUUUUAGACAAAUACUCAUGUGUAUGGGCAAAAAACUCAAGGACUGUAUUUGUGACUAAUUGUAUAACAGGUUAUUUUAGUUUCUGUUCUGUGGAAAGUGUAAAGCAUUCCAACAAAGGGUUUUAAUGUAGAUUUUUUUUUUGCACCCAUGCUGUUGAUUGCUAAAUGUAAUAGUCUGAUCGUGAUGCUGAAUAAAUGUCUUUUUUUUUAAUGUGCUGUGUAAAGUUAGUCUACUCUGAAGCCAUCUUGGUAAAUUUCCCCAACAGUGUGAAGUUAGAAUUCCUUCAGGGUGAUGCCAGGUUCUAUUUGGAAUUUAUAUACAACCUGCUUGGGUGGAGAAGCCAUUGUCUUUGGAAACCUUGGUGUAGUUGAACUGAUAGUUACUGUUGUGACCUGAAGUUCACCAUUAAAAGGGAUUACCCAAGCAAAAUCAUGGAAUGGUUAUAAAAGUGAUUGUUGGCACAUCCUAUGCAAUAUAUCUAAAUUGAAUAAUGGUACCAGAUAAAAUUAUAGAUGGGAAUGAAGCUUGUGUAUCA